Molecule: ribosomal RNA, 464 nt
Filed under: uncultured bacterium
Lineage: Bacteria
Description: partial 16S ribosomal RNA
Rfam family: Bacterial small subunit ribosomal RNA
Source: RNAcentral
GACGAACGCUGGCGGUGUGCUUAACACAUGCAAGUCGAACGGUAAGGCCCUUUCGGGGGUACACGAGUGGCGAACGGGUGAGUAACACGUGAGUAACCUGCCCUCAUCUCUGGGAUAACAGUCGGAAACGGUUGCUAAUACUGGAUAUGAGCCUGCAAGGCAUCUUGUGGGUUGGAAAGAUUUUUUGGUUGGGGAUGGACUCGCGGCCUAUCAGCUUGUUGGUGAGGUAGUGGCUCACCAAGGCUUCGACGGGUAGCCGGCCUGAGAGGGCGACCGGCCACAUUGGGACUGAGAUACGGCCCAAACUCCUACGGGAGGCAGCAGUGGGGAAUAUUGCACAAUGGACGGAAGUCUGAUGCAGCAACGCCGCGUGCGGGAUGACGGCCUUCGGGUUGUAAACCGCUUUCAAUUGUGACGAAGCUUUUUGUGACGGUAGCAGUAGAAGAAGCACCGGCUAACUACGU